UACCUAGUGGCGGACGGGUGAGUAACGCGUGAGUAACCUGCCUUGGAGUGGGGAAUAACACCUGGAAACAGGUGCUAAUACCGCAUAAGCGCACAGGGCCGCAUGGCCCGGUGUGAAAAACUCCGGUGGUGUAAGAUGGACCCGCGUCUGAUUAGCUUGUUGGCGGGGUAGGGGCCCACCAAGGCGACGAUCAGUAGCCGGCCUGAGAGGGUGGACGGCCACAUUGGGACUGAGACACGGCCCAAACUCCUACGGAAGGCAGCAG
Molecule: ribosomal RNA, 265 nt
Filed under: uncultured bacterium
Lineage: Bacteria
Description: partial 16S ribosomal RNA
Rfam family: Bacterial small subunit ribosomal RNA
Source: RNAcentral